Phascolarctos cinereus (koala) is the source of this 1828-nucleotide long non-coding RNA. NCBI's taxonomy places the organism in Eukaryota, Metazoa, Chordata, Mammalia, Diprotodontia, Phascolarctidae. The record is from Ensembl.
AAGAGAUAUAUAAACAGUACUGUGGGUUUUAGAUGGAGUGCUCACUUCCGUCUGGGGCAAUCAGUAAAGGCGUCACUGAGUAGAUGGCACCAAUUGAACUUUGAAGGAAUGAUGGGCUUUCAUCAUGUGGGAAUGUGGGGGCAAGGCAUUUCAGGCAGAGGAAAAAUAAGUGUGAGCAAAAGCAGGAGGUGGGCAUCCAUGUGCUACUGUUGAUUAUCCAUGUGUCUACUCCCCAGACUGAGACUUGACUAUAUUUAACCUGACCGAAGGAAUUUGGAUAUGUUCCCCCUCCUUCUUGGCCUGUGGCUCAAACACUGGGCAUUCUUGUGUCAGAAAGAGUUAAAUCUUAAAACAGGAAUUUGAUUACUAUGGAGACUACAUGUACACCAUCCAGAACAGUGAGGAAAAAAAUCAACGGACCAGUUGGGUCAAAAAUCAAAGUUAUGGCAAGGCAUUUUCUGGGAAAUUAAUAAUACUGGAAUUGGAGAUGGAGGAUCCCGGGACUUGCUAUUUACAACUGGAACAGAAAAACCACAGAAAUAGUAUCCCUUCUCCCCAUUAUCUCACUAUUCCUGCUUUCAGCCUGGCUUCCAAAGACAUCAUGAAGGACAGUGAACCCUGUAGAGAAAGGGUCCUCCCAUCCUCAACACCAACCUCUGACAAACUGCUGUUGAUCAUCGGUAAGCCCAAGAGCCCCAGCAAUGGAGGCACCUCCCUCCAGACUACCACGCUGCUUCUAGCCCAGACCCCGAAGCCAUCAUCCAGGCGAACAAACCUCAUGGAAGUGUCACUUGGUAUGGCAGUCUUGCCUCCUCAGCAGCCACAGCUCCUGAUGACUUGGACAAGAAAGUUGUAGCCAUCACGCUCCUUGGCACUGUCAGAGAGCUCCACAUCAGAAACAGAUGUGAUUGUGUUAGUGAAAAUGACAUUAAGGAAGAUGCAUUACCAUCUGCUUCAAUGCUAUACCUAAGGCUCAUGGGGCUAUUCAUUUGAAAACUCCUACAGGUCUUCACGAGUUCACUGAAAGCAGGGGCAAGUCAAGUCAAUUAGCAUUUAUUAAGCACCUACUAUGUGCCAAUUGGGCAACUAGGUGGUGCAGUGAACAGAACAGUGGGGCCAGAGUCAAAAGGACCUGAGUUCAAAUCCUGCCUCAGACACUUACCAGCUGUGUGACUCUGGACAAGUCCCUUCACUCUGUUUGCCUCAGUUUCCUCAUCUGUCAGAUGAGCUGGAGAAGGAAAUGGAAAAAUCAGUCCAGUAUCUUUGCCAAGAAAACCCCAAAAUGGGAUCAGGAAGAGUUGGGCAUGUUCGAAAUGACUUAGCAACAACAAAUGUGCCAGGCACUGUGCUACAUCCUAGAGGUGCAAAGAAAAGAAAACAGACAAACCAUCAGCAACAAAAAACACACUAGUACCAGCUUUCGUGAAGUUCACAGUUUAAUGGGAGAAGACGAUGUAUAAAUAACUGUGUACAAACAAGCUAUAGAAAGGACACAUUGGAAAUAACCAACACAAUGAAAGCACUAGAAUUCAGGGGCUAGGAAAGGCUUGCUGUAGGAAGGGCUACACUGCUAAGGGUGUAGAGAGAUAAAAACAGUAACUGCUACCAAGGUGCUCCUAUUCUACUAGAGGAGGCGACAUCCAAACAAUCAUCCAUUCAAGAUAUAUGCAAAUAGGGGCAGGCUGGUAAACGUUGGACAAUCAGCCUCUGAAAACCUCAGCACCCGUCUGAGUUUAACCUGCGUUAUCAACAUUUUCCCAUCACUUUCUUAAAUCCAGACAAACAAAAGCACAAUAAACCAAGCCCUGAUGUAUACGUUACUGAUUUC